AACGAACGCUGGCGGCAGGCUUAACACAUGCAAGUCGAACGGGUGUAGCAAUACAUCAGUGGCAGACGGGUGAGUAACACGUGGGAACCUUCCUAGAGGUACGGAACAACGCAGGGAAACUUGCGCUAAUACCGUAUACGCUCUUGCGAGGAAAGAUUUAUCGCCUUUAGACGGGCCCGCGUCGGAUUAGCUAGUUGGUAAGGUAACGGCUUACCAAGGCGACGAUCCGUAGCUGAUCUGAGAGGAUGAUCAGCCACACUGGGACUGAGACACGGCCCAGACUCCUACGGGAGGCAGCAGUGGGGAAUCUUGGACAAUGGGCGCAAGCCUGAUCCAGCCAUGCCGCGUGAGUGAAGAAGGCCUUCGGGUUGUAAAGCUCUUUGUCAGGGACGAUAAUGACGGUACCUGAAGAAUAAGCCCCGGCAAACUUCGUG
RNAcentral lists this ribosomal RNA (434 nucleotides) under uncultured bacterium. RNAcentral describes it as "bacterial SSU rRNA". It matches the Rfam family "Bacterial small subunit ribosomal RNA", at positions 29 to 507 of the family's 1533-position model. The record is from RNAcentral.